UGGGGAAUAUUGGACAAUGGGCGCAAGCCUGAUCCAGCCACGCCGCGUGAGUGAUGAAGGCCUUCGGGUCGUAAAGCUCUGUGGGGAGGGACGAACCGCUGCACGUUCAUAGCGUGCAGCAUGACGGUACCUCCUUAGCAAGCACCGGCUAACUACGUGCCAGCAGCCGCGGUAAUACGUAGGGUGCGAGCGUUAAUCGGAAUUACUGGGCGUAAAGCGUGCGCAGGCGGUUUUGUAAGACAGAGGUGAAAUCCCUCGGCUCAACCAAGGAAGUGCAUCCGAAACUGUCGAGCUUGAGUACGAAAGAGGAUCGCGGAAUUCCCGGUGUAGAGGUGAAAUUCGUAGAUAUCGGGAGGAACACCAGUGGCGAAGGCGGCGAUCUGGGUCGAUACUGACGCUGAGGUGCGAAAGCGUGGGGAGCAAACG
This 426-nucleotide ribosomal RNA is filed under the name uncultured bacterium. RNAcentral's name for it is "bacterial SSU rRNA". It matches the Rfam family "Bacterial small subunit ribosomal RNA", at positions 355 to 774 of the family's 1533-position model. The record is from RNAcentral.